This 329-nucleotide unclassified non-coding RNA is filed under the name soil metagenome. Its description in RNAcentral is "partial contains 5.8S ribosomal RNA, internal transcribed spacer 2, and large subunit ribosomal RNA". The stretch from base 1 to 120 matches the Rfam family "5.8S ribosomal RNA", at positions 35 to 154 of the family's 154-position model. The record is from RNAcentral.
GAUGAAGAACGCAGCGAAAUGCGAUAAGUAAUGUGAAUUGCAGAAUUCAGCGAAUCAUCGAAUCUUUGAACGCACAUUGCGCCCCCUGGUAUUCCGGGGGGCAUGCCUGUCCGAGCGUCAUUACAACCCUCAAGCUCAGCUUGGUAUUGGGCCCCGCCGCUCCGGCGGGCCCUAAAGUCAGUGGCGGUGCCGUCCGGCUCCGAGCGUAGUAAUUCUUCUCGCUCUGGAGGUCCGGUCGUGUGCUCGCCAGCAACCCCCAAUUUUUUUCAGGUUGACCUCGGAUCAGGUAGGGAUACCCGCUGAACUUAAGCAUAUCAAUAAGCGGAGGA